UGUGUGUGUGUGUGUGUGUGCAUGUUUUUUCCCCAACAUAAAAUGUUUCCAGAAAACAGCCUUCUUUAAUUUGGGUAACAUUUAACUUUUUCCAUACAUGCUUUGGAAAAGCUACUAAUGAAGUUACAAGAGAACCCCACUGAACAAAGAAAAACCAUGAAAACAAAAGAUGCUGUUUUUCUGGGACGUGAUGAGAAGCUCAAGAACUGUUUUAUUACCAAUUUGCUUGGAGGAUAAUCAUCUCCCUGGUCAUUUUGGUGCAUGUGGAGCAUACUUCUCAAUCACCUCCUAGAUGUGGCAUGUGCAGGAUUCCCAAAUUGUGAUUGACACCAUGUGGACAUCAACUCCUGGC
Phascolarctos cinereus (koala) is the source of this 352-nucleotide non-coding RNA. Lineage: Eukaryota; Metazoa; Chordata; Mammalia; Diprotodontia; Phascolarctidae. The record is from RefSeq and is a predicted model, not a curated record.